AACGAAAAUACAGCAGCAACAAUUUUCUCAACGAAAAGUGGUCACGAGUGACACCGACACGAUGUCUCACAUGCUUUAUGCAGAAUUUAUAACUAUUUUUGAGGCGGCAGACAUUCUAUGUGGCACGACAAAAAACGUUCAUUUUAUG
Molecule: non-coding RNA, 148 nt
Organism: Caenorhabditis elegans
Lineage: Eukaryota; Metazoa; Nematoda; Chromadorea; Rhabditida; Rhabditidae
Source: Ensembl